AUGAGGUAGGUUAACACUCUUAGGGUAGAUGUGUGUGGGCUGGAAGGACCACACUCUCUGAUUCCUGGGUUGUGUGAUGCUCACACCUUUGUCUCCUUUUCAACUACAUCAGCCUUGCCUGAUAGGGAAGUUAGAGAACUGGAGCUGAGGCUAGUGAUAGUUAACUGUAUGUAUCAACUUGGUUAGGCCAUAGUACACAGAUAUUUGGCUAACUUUUAUUCUAGAUAUUUCUGUGGAGGUAUUUUAGAUGGGAUUGAGAUUUAAAUCAGUAGACUGAGCAAAGCAGUCUGCCUUCCAUAAUGUAGGUAGGCCUCAUCCAAUCAGUUGAAUGGAGUCCAAAGUCACCCCACUAGCAGAGCUCCCAGCAGAGUGACUUUGGACUCUUCCCUGGGUCUCCAGCCUGCCAGUCUACCCUGCAGAUCCUGGACUUGCCAGCCUCCUCAAUUACAUGAGCCAAUCCCUUAAAAUCAAUCUCUCUCUCUCUCCACAUUCUAUUGAUUUUCCUCUGAUGUCACAAUUCCUUCUACUUACCCCAACCAUUCAGGUAAGUCUGACACAUCAGUAUCCUUUGUGCAGUCAUGACGUUAGGGUGGGGCAGUAAGGGACAGGACAGAAAGGGAAGUGCAGCCUGCCUCCUGCCCCCCACCCCGGGACUGCCUUCGUGGAGGGAGAGAUAUCUUGCCUCUUCCUAGGAGACCCAGGCACAGACAUUGGCACAGGAGUGAGUGGAACACAAGGCAUCUUCCAGGGGCCCAAAAGGAAAGGCAGGAAGAACCCCAUUUCCUUGGGAAUUUUUUCUCAUCAUCUCAGGAGAAAAGAAGGCUAAUAUUUGGAAAGGGAGGAGCAUUUGGGGCCCUGAAGUACCUGCUCCACCAGAACACGUCCACACCAGCCUGCUGGAUGGAUGCAGGAGACAUAUGCAGGAGAGCCAAGCUUUCCCAGUCAAGGCCAUCCUAGGUGAAAAACUGAGGCCAAGAAAGGUGAAGUGGACAUAGUGAAGCAGGAAGUGGUUAACAGAGCCAGGACUAGAAAUCAGCCUCUUGACUACCAGAAUUUACCUUUUAGAUCACCUAAGCAGCACGUGGAAUGGACAGUGGGUUAAAUGAAGAAGAAAGAGAGGCUGGCAUCCAGUAGCUGAGCCGAAUUGCACAGACUUGGAGGAGUAAAUGAAACAAGUGUUUUAUGGAACAACAGGCAAACCAUUUAAAUCUAUAACUACUAUGCUUAUGUUUCCUGCUUCCUUGUCUACAAUGGAAUAUGCAGUUUCCUUUUCUCCAUGAGACUGACUGAUUUGGACUGCAUCAAAAGGCUCCCUUGCCCUUUGGCCUCUGGUUGGAUUUGGCCAUUGGGAUGCACCAGCAGGAGACUGGAGAAGGGUGGUGAGAUAUAAAUUCCCCAGUUUCUUCUUGGGUUUUCUCUGGGAGGGGGUGGGGAACUUGCAGCCUCAAGGCCACAUGUGGCCCCCCAGAUCCCCAAGUGCAGCCCCUCCACCAAAUCCAAACUUUACAGAACAAAUUCCUUUAUUAAGUCUGACUGUAUCCAUUGACUGAAGGUCAGAGGCUCCUGUUAAGUACUCUCUCAGUGUCUGUAUUUUGGUAAGAGUUCUUUCCACUGCAUCUACAGAUCUAGGAGCUGUAGCCCCAGGGCUCCACACUUCCCUUGUGGUUUUCCACACCCUGCCUACAUCUUUGUAAAGUGCCAUUUGUUUCCUGCAAGGACCCUCACUGAUACAAUGCUGUGAAUAAAAUCACUGCA
Molecule: non-coding RNA, 1755 nt
Organism: Microcebus murinus (gray mouse lemur)
Lineage: Eukaryota; Metazoa; Chordata; Mammalia; Primates; Cheirogaleidae
Source: RefSeq, a predicted model, not a curated record